GAUGAACGCUGGCGGCGUGCCUAAUACAUGCAAGUCGAGCGAACAGACCAUGAGCUUGUUCCUCUUACGUUACCGGCGGACGGGCGCGUAACACGUGGAUAACCUACAUAUAAGACUGACUUAACUUCGGGAUACCGGAGCUAAUACUAGUUCAUAUAUUGAACCGCUUGCUUCAUUAGUGGAAGAGGGUUUUGCUGUCGCUUAUGGAUGGGUACGCGCCGCAUUAGCUAGUUGGCAAGGUAACGGCUUACCAAGGCAACGAUCCGUAGACGACCUGAGAGGGUGGUAGGGCACCCUGGAACGGAGCCACGGUACGGACUACUACGGGAGGGAGCAGUAGGGAGUGUACCGCAAUGGGCGGAAGCAUGACGGAGCACAGCCGAGUGAGGGAUGAAGGUCUUCGGAUAGUAGAACUAUGUUAUUAGGGAAGAACGAAUGUGUCAAUAACUAGGCACGUCUUGACGGUACCUAAUCAGAAAGCCACGGCUAACUACGUG
Molecule: ribosomal RNA, 497 nt
Filed under: uncultured bacterium
Lineage: Bacteria
Description: partial 16S ribosomal RNA
Rfam family: Bacterial small subunit ribosomal RNA
Source: RNAcentral